UACGGAGGAUGCGAGCGUUAUCCGGAUUUAUUGGGUUUAAAGGGUGCGUAGGCGGAAUGUCAAGUCAGCGGUCAAAUCGCGGGGCUCAACCUCGCUUCGCCGUUGAAACUGGUGUUCUUGAGUGGGCGAGAAGUAUGCGGAAUGCGUGGUGUAGCGGUGAAAUGCAUAGAUAUCACGCAGAACUCCGAUAGCGAAGGCAGCAUACCGGCGCCCAACUGACGCUGAAGCACGAAAGCGUGGGUAUCGAACAGG
RNAcentral lists this unclassified non-coding RNA (252 nucleotides) under uncultured Bacteroidales bacterium. RNAcentral describes it as "contains 16S-23S intergenic spacer region". It matches the Rfam family "Bacterial small subunit ribosomal RNA", at positions 524 to 776 of the family's 1533-position model. The record is from RNAcentral. Lineage: Bacteria; Pseudomonadati; Bacteroidota; Bacteroidia; Bacteroidales.